This 1420-nucleotide unclassified non-coding RNA is filed under the name uncultured Neocallimastigales. Its description in RNAcentral is "partial contains small subunit ribosomal RNA, internal transcribed spacer 1, 5.8S ribosomal RNA, internal transcribed spacer 2, and large subunit ribosomal RNA". The stretch from base 663 to 1420 matches the Rfam family "Eukaryotic large subunit ribosomal RNA", at positions 1 to 617 of the family's 3401-position model. The record is from RNAcentral. Lineage: Eukaryota; Fungi; Neocallimastigomycota; Neocallimastigomycetes; Neocallimastigales.
UUUCCGUAGGUGAACCUGCGGAAGGAUCAUUAAAAAAUUGGACUCCAUUGGUGAGUUCAUUAAUAAUCCCUACCCUUUGUGAAUUUGUUUGUUUGAAUAAUUUUUUUUCCAAAAAAAAUUAUUGAAUGUCUUUCCUUGUUUUGGUGGAGCUUGUAAAGUGAAACCAGGCAGGGGAAUGGCAAACAAUAAUUAUUUUUGAAAAAGACCUUUUUUUAAAAUUAAACUUUUUGUAUUCAUUUGUCUAAAAUUAAUUUUUAUAAUAUAAAAACAACUUUUGACAAUGGAUCUCUUGGUUCUCGCAACGAUGAAGAACGCAGCAAAAUGCGAUAAGUAGUGUGAAUUGCAGAAUACGUGAAUCAUCGAAUCUUCGAACGCAUAUUGCACUUUUUUAGUUUACUAAAAAAGUAUGUCUGUUUGAGUAUCAGUAAAAUAUUCUCAUAAAAAACAUUGUUUUUUUUAUGGUUAUGAGUGUUUUACAACGAUAACAAGUUGUUUCACUUUAAAUUCUUUGUUAUCAAAAAAAUCAUUAAAAGCUAAUUUUAAAGAUUUUUUAAAAUUGGAUAAAAUUUUCCCGUAAAAAGGAAUAACCUAAACAAUUUUAAAAAAUUAAAAUUGGUUUGAUUUUUUUUGAAACCCAAAGGAAAAAAAAAACGAAAUUAACUUGAUCUCAAAUCAGAUAAGAGUACCCGCUGAACUUAAGCAUAUCAAUAAGCGGAGGAAAAGAAACUAACUAGGAUUCCCUCAGUAACGGCGAGUGAAGCGGGAAGAGCUCAAAUUUGAAAUCUUCAAGGUUUUACCUUGACGAAUUGUAGUUUAAAGAAGUGUUUUCUGUUGGAGUUUUGGUAAAAGUUCUUUGGAAAAGGACAUCAUAGAGGGUGGGAAUCCCGUAUUUGACCAUUAUCUCCAGCUUUGUGAUACACUUUCAAAGAGUCGGAUUGUUUGGGAAUGCAGUCCAAAAUGGGUGGUAAAUUUCAUCUAAAGCUAAAUACUGGCGAGAGACCGAUAGCGAACAAGUACCGUGAGGGAAAGAUGAAAAGAACUUUGAAAAGAGAGUUAAACAGUACGUGAAAUUGUCAAAAGGGUAGCGUUUGACACCAGUGUUGUUUUCUCGAAAAUCAAUUAAAAAAGGCCGGAUUUUGUGUUGUAUUGACUUUAUCAGCUUUCUGCACUCUUUUCUUGUCUUUUUUAAUGCACUUUUCGUUUAACAAGUCAACAUCAAUUUCUUUUGUUGUAAAAGGGUCAUUGGAAGGUGGCUUUCUUUUCGGAGAAAGUGUUUAUAGCCUUUGGCCUCUGCAAUCGGAGAGAUUGAGGUCUGCAGCGUAGAUCCUUCGGGGUUAGAUACAUUUGUGCUAAGUUAUAGCCUUUCAUAGACAACUUGUUGACUAUGAUCAGUCAUGUAGCUUACUCGCUUAUGCUAUUU